GAAUAUUGGACAAUGGGCGCAAGCCUGAUCCAGCCAUGCCGCGUGAGUGAUGAAGGCCCUAGGGUUGUAAAGCUCUUUCACCGGUGAAGAUAAUGACGGUAACCGGAGAAGAAGCCCCGGCUAACUUCGUGCCAGCAGCCGCGGUAAUACGAAGGGGGCUAGCGUUGUUCGGAUUUACUGGGCGUAAAGCGCACGUAGGCGGAUUGGUCAGUUAGGGGUGAAAUCCCAGGGCUUAACCCUGGAACUGCCUUUAAUACUGCCAGUCUUGAGUAUGGAAGAGGUGAGUGGAAUUGCGAGUGUAGAGGUGAAAUUCGUAGAUAUUCGCAGGAACACCAGUGGCGAAGGCGGCUCACUGGUCCAUUACUGACGCUGAGGUGCGAAAGCGUGGGGAGCAAACA
RNAcentral lists this ribosomal RNA (398 nucleotides) under uncultured bacterium. RNAcentral's name for it is "partial 16S ribosomal RNA". It matches the Rfam family "Bacterial small subunit ribosomal RNA", at positions 359 to 774 of the family's 1533-position model. The record is from RNAcentral.